UACGAAGGGUGCAAGCGUUACUCGGAAUUACUGGGCGUAAAGCGUGCGUAGGUGGUUUGUUAAGUCUGUUGUGAAAGCCCCGGGCUCAACCUGGGAAUGGCAAUGGAUACUGGCAAGCUAGAGUGCGGUAGAGGGUAGUGGAAUUCCCGGUGUAGGCGGUGAAAUGCGUAGAGAUCGGGAGGAACACCAGUGGCGAAGGCGGCUACCUGGACCAGCACUGACACUGAGGCACGAAAGCGUGGGGAGCAAACAGG
Molecule: ribosomal RNA, 254 nt
Filed under: uncultured bacterium
Lineage: Bacteria
Description: partial 16S ribosomal RNA
Rfam family: Bacterial small subunit ribosomal RNA
Source: RNAcentral